RNAcentral lists this ribosomal RNA (253 nucleotides) under uncultured bacterium. RNAcentral's name for it is "partial 16S ribosomal RNA". It matches the Rfam family "Bacterial small subunit ribosomal RNA", at positions 524 to 776 of the family's 1533-position model. The record is from RNAcentral.
GACAGAGGGUGCGAGCGUUGUCCGGAGUCACUGGGCGUAAAGGGUACGUAGGCGGCUGGUCAAGUCUGGGGUUAAAGGCCACAGCUCAACUGUGGGAAGGCCCUGGAAACUGACCGGCUAGAGUGAGGUAGGGGUUGCGGGAAUUCCCGGUGUAGCGGUGAAAUGCGUAGAGAUCGGGAAGAACACCUGAGGCGGAAGCGCGCAACUGGGCCUCAACUGACGCUGAGGUACGAAAGCUAGGGGAGCGAAUGGG